RNAcentral lists this ribosomal RNA (322 nucleotides) under uncultured bacterium. Its description in RNAcentral is "bacterial SSU rRNA". It matches the Rfam family "Bacterial small subunit ribosomal RNA", at positions 8 to 334 of the family's 1533-position model. The record is from RNAcentral.
AGAGUUUGAUUAUGGCUCAGGACGAACGCUGGCGGCGUGCUUUAUACAUGCAAGUCGAACGUGAAGCUGACUUCGGUCAGUGGAAAGUGGCGGACGGGUGAGUAAUAUGUAGGAAAUCUGCCCUAGAGAGGGGGACAACAGAGGGAAACUUCUGCUAAUACCCCAUAUGAGCUAAGUUGAAAUACUUAUCUUGAAAACUCCGGUGCUCUAGGAUGAGCCUGCAUCUGAUUAGCUAGUUGGUGGUGUAAUGGACUACCAAGGCGAUGAUCAGUAGCUGGUUUGAGAGGAUGAUCAGCCACAAUGGGACUGAGACACGGCCCAU